AAUUAUAGGCCACCACAUUUUCGUAAGAAAGUAAGUAUAUCUAUUUAGUUGGAUCAAUUAUGGGAUCGGCACAUUAAAGUUUGUGCUUUUGUGGAGAUAGAAAAAUUUCACAGUAUUCACAAAUUGAGGUACUUUUACCUAAUGUCGUUUUACAGUUUCAUUUUUUACAACUUUGUA
RNAcentral lists this small RNA (177 nucleotides) under Arabidopsis thaliana (thale cress). Its description in RNAcentral is "ATSL101090". The record is from RNAcentral. Lineage: Eukaryota; Viridiplantae; Streptophyta; Magnoliopsida; Brassicales; Brassicaceae.